UGACAUCUUGCCUGGUCCGUGUGUCUUAUGUCCCAACCCAGAGUUGUAUAUUAACCUCUUAGAACAGAUACCUGACUAUCAUCAAGGCUAUCCUAGAGGAUCCUUUUACUACACUGAUUAAAAUUAAUGCUUUGAUAAAUUGAUCUAUAGUUGGUACCAAUAAAGGAAUACGUUCUGAAUAAGAAUUUACGAAAUCUAUGACUAAAGCUGCCCUCCAGAUUAUACUCUGUACUCGUUUUAAAUUAAGCUAAGUCAACUGUUGACUUCCAGCGCCGGCCAUCGCAGAAAAACCAUGGGGUCAUCCCACUGCAAGGAGUCCUUAACAUUACUUCUAACACUGUCAUGGAGGGUCCUUCUCCAUAACUAGUACCAAGUUUUUUGACUAAUGACUGUUUUCUUGUUACAGGAGCACCAGCGCCGGCCACCACAGAAGAGGUGUGGGUCAACCCACUAGAAGGGGUUCUUGACACUACCACAGAAGCUGACUUAGAGGGUCCUCCUCCUACACUAGUCUCAGGUUAUGCUCUGCACCCUACACCCAGACCUUUUGUGCCUUGGAGGUUUUGGGGAGCGGUUGGGGCUUUCACAGCACUCAUUCUUAUGUACGCUUGUGCCUUCGCCAUGUUCAACUUCUUGCCCGUAUUGACAAUGUUUGACUGUUUCCUUACCUCAGGAGCAAGUACGAAGCCUGGGAACUCAAGACUAAUGGCUCAUUAACAACCCUCGGCAUCUCUGUCAUAUUCGGCAUCAUCUUGCUCACUCUCUAUUUCAUGUUCUACGACAAGUUAAACCCUUAAAUUAUUCUUUGUUUCCUGAAUUGAAUAAAUGAAAUUGAAUAGA
Homalodisca vitripennis (glassy-winged sharpshooter) is the source of this 840-nucleotide long non-coding RNA. RefSeq lists it as uncharacterized. The transcript has 2 exons. NCBI's taxonomy places the organism in Eukaryota, Metazoa, Arthropoda, Insecta, Hemiptera, Cicadellidae. The record is from RefSeq and is a predicted model, not a curated record.